AGGGUUUGAUCAUGGCUCAGAUUGAACGCUGGCGGAAUGCUUUACACAUGCAAGUCGAACGAUGAAGCCUAGCUUGCUAGGUGAAUUAGUGGCGGACGGGUGAGUAAUAUAUCGGAACGUGUCCAUUAAUGGGGGAUAACUAAUCGAAAGGUUAGCUAAUACCGCAUACGCCCUGAGGGGGAAAGCUGGGGAUCUUCGGACCUAGCGUUAAUGGAGCGGCCGAUACCUGAUUAGCUAGUUGGUGGGGUAAAAGCCUACCAAGGCAACGAUCAGUAGCUGGUCUGAGAGGACGACCAGCCACACUGGGACUGAGACACGGCCCAGACUCCUACGGGAGGCAGCAGUGGGGAAUUUUGGACAAUGGGGGCAACCCUGAUCCAGCCAUUCCGCGUGAGUGAAGGAGGCCUUCGGGUUGUAAAGCUCUUUCGCAAGGGAAGAAACGAUAUAGGUUAAUAGCUUAUGUUAAUGACGGUACCUUGACAAGAAGCACCGGCUAACUACGUGCCAGCAGCCGCGGUAAUACGUAGGGUGCAAGCGUUAAUCGGAAUUACUGGGCGUAAAGCGUGCGCAGGCUGUUUUGUAAGUCAGAUGUGAAAUCCCCGAGCUCAACUUGGGAACUGCGUUUGAAACUACAAGACUAGAAUAGGUCAGAGGGGGGUAGAAUUCCAUGUGUAGCAGUGAAAUGCGUAGAGAUGUG
RNAcentral lists this ribosomal RNA (697 nucleotides) under uncultured bacterium. RNAcentral describes it as "bacterial SSU rRNA". It matches the Rfam family "Bacterial small subunit ribosomal RNA", at positions 8 to 700 of the family's 1533-position model. The record is from RNAcentral.